Mytilus trossulus (common blue mussel) is the source of this 2004-nucleotide long non-coding RNA. RefSeq lists it as uncharacterized. NCBI's taxonomy places the organism in Eukaryota, Metazoa, Mollusca, Bivalvia, Mytilida, Mytilidae. The record is from RefSeq and is a predicted model, not a curated record. The transcript has 5 exons.
UUUCACUUUCCCUUUGACUCGUAAAGAUUCUGGCCUAGCAAGUGGCACAGUUCAUAACAGGAGACAGACCCUGCUCUCAUGAGAAUGAAAAGAAUCUGCUCAACUAAAAAGCCACCAAAGAUCAGAUAGUUUAUGCCCGAAACAGACCACAUACUAGACUGGAAGAUUCAACAUCCAGUAAAAAGAGGAAAAUGGCAUUGAUUCAGUUUCAAUACACACACCUACUUUUUCCUUACAAGGGAUCUAUAUACCAGAAGAGUUAGUCUAUGUGCUCAAAAGAAAAGACAAAGAUUGUGAUCAAGCUUUUUUCAGUCCUAUUUCUGAUGUUGAUAUGAAAGGGUGUAAUAAAGUAACAACAGAGAAGGUUUUAGCAAGCAGGUGCUGUAAGAACUUCAAAAGGUUUAUCAAGACUUCUCAGUGCUUGCCAAACAAGUGUCAAAGAGUGAAUGGCAAGAAUGGCUUUAAAGAACGGAGAAGACAUGUUUUAUUGCACUUAGUUUUAAGCUUCUGUUUGAUAUUUUACCACUACGAUAGAGUUAUGUAAAUUUAUUUUAUGUAUUGUUCUAAUGUAUCAAUCUGUUUUGUAAUUACUCCUUUUUAAAUAUGUUGUUAUUGUUUUUAUACCUUUUCCUACUAUAAAAGGUUUUUAUUAAGCCUUAUGUUACUUUGGUUUUUUAUUUCAUAGGAUUAAGAUGUCAUUCUUGAAAACCUUGUUAGUAUGAACUGUGUUUUUUUAUAUCUUAAUGUGUGUAGUAUUAAUCCACCCCAAUUAUAUUUAGUUAUGAAAAAAUAUAUACCAUAAGGACUGUCCACUUAUAAUGAAUGCCUCUCUGAAAAGAUUAGUGAAGCUUGGAAUAAAUAAAUAUAAAUUAUUAAAAUAUAACUAAAUUAUGAAGACUCCAUACAAAAAAACUUUGGAAAGUGUCACAACAGUAAAAAAAAUUAGAGUAUAAUUUAGGUUAGUUCUGAAUCUUAUUUUUUUAUUGGGAUUUUCUUCAUUGCAUAGAGGAUGUGUUUAUCUUAUAAAAUUGAUAUACAGUACCUGGCCAAAAGUAUUCGUCACCUGCAUUUUUUUUUGCUAUUAUUUCAUAUAAAAACAUAUUUUUUCAAAAAUAUGUUUUAGGGACAUUUUUGUUUUGAUUUUAAGCAACUUGGUACCAAUAGAAGCAGAAUUGUCACAGGUUUAUUUUUUUAUUGGAUACAUUGUCUUAGUGGAUAAUUUUCAUUUUUUCACAAGAUAAACACAAAUAUUAUUUUCUGUUCAGAAAUUUGCUAUGUAUUCAACCAAAUUAAAUUAUAAAAAUGUAUUGUAUGUGUUCAUAUCAAGACAAAACUAAAACCAAAUAAACAAACAAACUUCAGACAAUUCUACAUCUUUUAAGGCCUUGUUGAUUAAAAUCCAACCAUAAAUGCCCUAAAAAUAUUUUUUUGGAAAAAAUGUGUUUUUGUAUGAAAUAAUAGCAAAAAACGCAGGUGACGAAUACCUCAAGAUGUGAUUUUUAUAUGUCGUAAAUACAUGUACAAAAAAACAUACAUAUAAAUGAUUAUGAUAUGCUAAUACUUCAUUAUUGCAAAUAAUUUUAUUUUAAAUUAUGAUGAAUAUAUAAACUGGAUUGACUAUUCAUAUUUAUGCUUGUUGAUUGUUGACAUUACGUGUUGAAAAACAAAAAGAGUCCUAGGACUAAGAGUAACAAGCCUCAGUCAAAAAGUUACAACAUUGUCUUUUUGUAAGAUUAAUUGGUUGUUCAUUAUUAAUUUUUGAAACUGGUAAAUUUGUUGAUAAAUUUGUUUGGUCUAUAAUAGAUUAAAAUAUAUAUCUAAAGAUAUCUAUUGAAAUCGUCUUCCUAUUAAAAAAAAUCUCUCAAAAACACUUUGUGCCCUCUAUAAAUGCUCACAAUUUUUAGAUAGGUAACUUGUUUGUCUAUUUUAUUUUGUACCAUAAUAUUAUGCAUGAAAAAUAUCAAUUGUGCUUUAUGCAUGUCACUAAUGUAUAGAUAAAUUUAG